RNAcentral lists this ribosomal RNA (486 nucleotides) under Triticum aestivum (bread wheat). Its description in RNAcentral is "partial small subunit ribosomal RNA". The record is from RNAcentral. Lineage: Eukaryota; Viridiplantae; Streptophyta; Magnoliopsida; Poales; Poaceae.
AUGAGUGAAGUGGUUACUAGAAUGAGAGGCACACCAGGCUAUUUGGCUCCUGAAUGGUUGACAUCGCAGAUCACGGAAAAGGCCGAUGUCUACAGCUUUGGCGUUGUGGUCAUGGAAAUAAUCAGUGGGAGAAAGAACCUCGACACCUCUCAGCCUGAAGAGAGCAUCCAUCUUAUCACCCUAUUGGAAGAAAAGGUGAAGAGUGAUCAGUUAGCAGAUCUAGUCGACAAGCAGAGUGACGACAUGCAAGUGAACAAGCAAGAGGUGAUUCGGAUGAUGAGGAUGGCAAUGUGGUGUUUGCAGAUUGAUUGCAAAAAAAAAAGGCCAAAAAUGUCAGAGGUUGUCAAAGUCUUGGAAGGCACCAUAAACACGGAAAGCAACAUAGAUUAUAAGUUUGUUGCAACUGUUAGAGUGAACUUUGGCGUGGCAGGAGAUGCAUGCUCCUCAGCUACACCUCUGGCUUCAGAUGUAUCAGGCCCCAGAUGA